UUCUAUGGCGACUGGGCGGGAGGAGCCGCAAGGCUCGCCGGUGCCUCAUCGGUACGCCAACUUCCGUUUCAGUCGCCACCCCU
RNAcentral lists this non-coding RNA (83 nucleotides) under Pandoraea thiooxydans. Lineage: Bacteria; Pseudomonadati; Pseudomonadota; Betaproteobacteria; Burkholderiales; Burkholderiaceae. The record is from RNAcentral.